Molecule: ribosomal RNA, 468 nt
Filed under: uncultured bacterium
Lineage: Bacteria
Description: partial 16S ribosomal RNA
Rfam family: Bacterial small subunit ribosomal RNA
Source: RNAcentral
GACGAACGCUGGCGGCGUGCUUAACACAUGCAAGUCGAACGGAAAGGCCCUGCUUUUGUGGGGUGCUCGAGUGGCGAACGGGUGAGUAACACGUGAGUAACCUGCCCUUGACUUUGGGAUAACUUCAGGAAACUGGGGCUAAUACCGGAUAGGAGCUCCUGCUGCAUGGUGGGGGUUGGAAAGUUUCGGCGGUUGGGGAUGGACUCGCGGCUUAUCAGCUUGUUGGUGGGGUAGUGGCUUACCAAGGCUUUGACGGGUAGCCGGCCUGAGAGGGUGACCGGGCACUUUGGGACUAAGGUACGGCCCAGACUCCAACGGGAGGCAAUGGUGGGGAAUAUUGCACAAUGGGGGGAAGCCUGAUGCAGCAACGCCGCGUGCGGGAUGACCGCCUUCGGGUUGUAAACCGCUUUCGCCUGUGACGAAGCGUGAGUGACGGUAAUGGGUGAAGAAGCACCGGCUAACUACGUG